AGUACGACCGCAAGGUUGAAACUCAAAGGAAUUGACGGGGGCCCGCACAAGCGGUGGAGCAUGUGGUUUAAUUCGAAGCAACGCGAAGAACCUUACCAGGUCUUGACAUCCUUUGACCACUCUAGAGAUAGAGCUUUCCCUUCGGGGACAAAGUGACAGGUGGUGCAUGGUUGUCGUCAGCUCGUGUCGUGAGAUGUUGGGUUAAGUCCCGCAACGAGCGCAACCCUUAUUGUUAGUUGCCAUCAUUUAGUUGGGCACUCUAGCGAGACUGCCGGUGACAAACCGGAGGAAGGUGGGGAUGACGUCAAAUCAUCAUGCCCCUUAUGACCUGGGCUACACACGUGCUACAAUGGGAAGUACAACGAGUCGCUAGACCGCGAGGUCAUGCAAAUCUCUUAAAGCUUCUCUCAGUUCGGAUUGCAGGCUGCAACUCGCCUGCAUGAAGCCGGAAUCGCUAGUAAUCGCGGAUCAGCACGCCGCGGUGAAUACGUUCCCGGGCCUUGUACACACCGCCCGU
RNAcentral lists this ribosomal RNA (517 nucleotides) under Enterococcus faecalis. RNAcentral's name for it is "bacterial SSU rRNA". It matches the Rfam family "Bacterial small subunit ribosomal RNA", at positions 879 to 1397 of the family's 1533-position model. Lineage: Bacteria; Bacillati; Bacillota; Bacilli; Lactobacillales; Enterococcaceae. The record is from RNAcentral.